RNAcentral lists this unclassified non-coding RNA (524 nucleotides) under Sphaeranthus incisus. RNAcentral's name for it is "contains 3 external transcribed spacer, ETS". The record is from RNAcentral. Lineage: Eukaryota; Viridiplantae; Streptophyta; Magnoliopsida; Asterales; Asteraceae.
GCAUCUUGGGGGUUGUUUCGAUUGGUAUGUUUCCGGUGGUUGGCUCUCUGCUCGCGCAACAACUUCCACCUGGCAUACCUCUUCAGUUACACGUCAAGGUUUUAUUGCCUUGUUCGUUGGGUUUCCUGUGUUGUAUACCUAGUGACGGAUUGUUCGAUUCAUCAUUCACAUUUCAUCUUUCGUCAUGCUUUGGCGCGGGAUGAACAUGAAACGAUCUCUUUGGUCUACCUUGUGGAUGCAUAACGUUCAAAUUGUGGCCCAUUGAGUAUUGCUUGGUUUCAUGGAUACGGAACAUGAUGUGGGCAUGGGGUCUCAAACGAUCCUGUUUUGUCGAAGACGUUAUUGUUUUUCUAAGAUGACUGCUCCCGAAUUGUCUUGUACAAACGGGUGGGUAUGUUGUCAAGAGAGAUGCUAGCGUUCUGCUUCUCAAAAACGACCACUACCUGUUGGCUUGUACCAGCGGUGGGUGAGUCGAUAGGGAUGCUACCUGGUUGAUCCUGCCAGUAGUCAUAUGCUUGUCUCAA